CAGGCACACUAAUGGCCGCCUUAAAAGCUCUGAAACUUUGAACACAAAGUUGUUACACGGGACCAAGCGGCCUACCGUUGGGUCUUUGAUGUGCCUGCUUUAUCCGAAGGGAUGAUUAUUAAGUUUGAUAUUGUUGCUCAUGGACGUGGAAUGGGAUGCCCGACUGUCAUCAAAAUGUCAACAGUCUUAUCAUACGUUUGCUGAUAUUUUGCUUUUAAAGCGAAACGGAUGAGAUGACGUUUCAAAUGUCAAAAACCGCAACCUGCUUGGAGUCAACUCUGCAAUGUUCUUUAUAUUACAAUCCGUGUGGAAACUCCACACGCCUCUGUCCCGGAUAGAAAAUCCCAUAUCGUUUGAGUCAUUGAGGAAUGUCGACUCUUUAAAUGUUGUUCCUGCGCCGCUCGUGCAGGCCGCCGAGAGACGGAGAGAGAUCCAGAGCGGCCAUGUGAGAGAUCUGAGCGCAUUCAGCAUGUUCUUUUGUCUGAGCUGACGACCAGCUGGUCCCACAUCCUGCCUGCCACUGUCCUAGCCUCACACUCCACGCCCUGAUCUGGUGUGUGUGUGCAUGUGUGUGUGCGUGUGUGUGUGUGUGAGUGUGAGAGCAAAUUUGUGGAGGUGGUGCUAGUUGGGCUAUAAUUUAUUCCUAAAGGGGGAUUAACAGCAGGAGGAGGCUUGGGGAGGAAGGCAGGGGGUCUUUUCAAUAGUAGAGGAGGUGAUCUCGGAAGUGAGCUACAACUGAUCCUGAAGUCCUUUGGGGAGCUGGUGAUCGGAUCAUCCAACCAUGAGUUGAUUAUUCUUUUAAAGACUGCUACUGAUUCAUCCCUUUAGGGGAUUUUUUAAAAUUUCUUUUGCAGCGCUGUUGCGUCAACCUUCAUCCAACACACCAAUGGCAGGGUCCUUCAUAAAACUUUUGUCAGGCCACCGUGAGUAACGAUUUGGUGGCCCUGCCGUUCAUUAGAGUUGUCCUUUUUUAGUGAAGAAAAAAAUCCGGACCGUGCUGACCGUUUCGGCUGUCACUUUAGUCUUCGUUUGAGUGGUCACUGCUUCCUUGUGACUUAUUAAAAAAAAAAACCCAGCUGACCGGGUCGGGAAACCUUCAAAAUAAAGCUCACCGUCCGGGUGAAGGCUGCCAACCGCCAAUCAGCUCACGGGGGAUAAAUUCACUAGUGUCACACGGGGAACCAAUCACGCGGCCUCCAAGGAAAACUUUCUCUCUCGCGCAUCAACAAUGGCUCUCUCCACAAUAUGGCGGCCAAUAUGGCUGUAUUUAUUUUUCAUUUUUAUUUUUUGAUUUAUUUAAAAAAGAUUAACAAAUGCAGUACCGGUAUUUUCUCAAAACCCGCGAAGCGCAGUAGCCGCAAAAAAAGUGGUGAGGGAUUACCGUCCAUAAAUUACUGUGCAAAAUCCAGUGCCAAAAAUUUGCUGUCCUAAAUGAACUGUUAAUAUAAGUGUGACAAAACUUAGUAUGAAAAUAAUAAAACUAUUAAAAUACAAAUUAAAUAAUAAAAUAAAAAAGAAACUAUCAAAUCCACCCCCC
Long non-coding RNA from Hippocampus zosterae (dwarf seahorse), 1537 nucleotides. RefSeq lists it as uncharacterized. The record is from RefSeq and is a predicted model, not a curated record. The transcript is spliced from 2 exons. Lineage: Eukaryota; Metazoa; Chordata; Actinopteri; Syngnathiformes; Syngnathidae.